AUUGCGGGGCCCCGCCAUCCCGCCGCCCGGGCACCUGAGUAAACCAUGCGCGACGGGUGGUAGCCCGGCAUAACGCUGGGUGAUAUGCAGCGUCCUGGGCCCGGGUCCCAGAGCUGCCCCGCGCCCUGCAUAGCGCAGCGUCCCGCCGUCGCGGCUGCUCAUUGCUUGGAGAGCCAUGCAGGCGCGGGGCACCUCGCGAGCGAGCCCCAGAACCUGGUUGACGCAUAAUCCGGCCGCCGGCAGCCCGCAUAACCGCGAGAGCUAUACCGAGCGGGAGCGGGAGCCGCCGGCGCCCGGGACCGCGCAUACGGGCCGCGACCGCCCCGCCAACCCCCCCCAAGGUGCGGGGCCGCGGCGAGGCGGGAGCGCGGGCCGGGGCCGCCUGACAGGCCCCUCCGGGAUCCCCAGGGCCCAUGCGGAGCUUGGGGCCUGCCCGGGAGCUGCUCUCGAGCAGGUGAUGCCGCCCAGGGAGCGUGGAAGAGCAUUCCCGAGCUUCGCUAGUCCAGCUUAACCCUUCAGCUGCAUGGAGUGGGGUGCACGGGGCCCGCCGCCCCGCGCCAGGAGCAGCGGUGCAGGUAGGAACGGGGCAGGGCGCCGGCGCGCACCAACCUGCAAAUCAAACCCACGCUUUAAAUCCCGCACGUGAGCUCUCUACCCGUCCAUUAUUAAAGAAGAUGUGCUGCACGCCCCCACCCGGGGGCCCGGCCAGUUCCCCUCAGAGGUGUUGAUCUGCUGGGCGAUGGGCUGGUGAACAGGAGCAAAGAGGUCCCGGGAGGGGCAGCUUUUGGGGCUGCUGCUCACCCUUGCCAGCACACACACCUGCUGCUUCGCUGGGGCAUCGGGCUUUGGGGCUGGAUAGAUUUACCUGUGCCCUUGGUGAGAAAGCGUCACCUCCUCUGAGGUCAAAAAGAGGGAACACUGACCAGGAACCAUCCUCUAAGGCAAUAAAAAGAGUUAAGUCCUACCCCAACAAAGCUGCUGGCUUCAGAGAACUCCUACAGAUAUUUCCUGAGAACCUGCUGAGGGGAGGCAGCGCACCAGGUUUUUGUACACAUCUCCACAAAAGCUGGUUGAUAAUGAGCAAGCCUGUGGAUUUCGGGACCGCUGACACCCGUGGCCAGCAGCGGUGACACAAACAGCAAAGCUCUGCUCAUCCUCACAGCCGAGUCGCACCCCAAACCAGCAGCACACGUGGAAUAUACACCCCACAAUGUACACCACGGCACGUGCCUUUGCAUACUUUAAAUAAAGCACUGGCCUUUCCUUCUGGAUCCUGCUGGCUGAUGUGAAAUGCAUUCAGAAACAAGGAAUACUUGCGCGCUGGGGCUGGAGCUGGGGCUGUCACGCCUCCCCCAGCGCUGCGGCUGAGGCACCACAGCUGCCCCAGAGCGCAGGCGCGCUAACGAGCAGUGGCGGUAACGAGCCGCAGCGUCACCGAGCUGUGGGGCUGCCCGGGGGACCCCGGCAGCUGUCCCCACUCCGAGGCCGGGCCAAACAACCACGACAGGUUGACAUGGGUUCCCGUCUUUAUUGUCACAGACCCUGCCACAGACGCGGGACUGCAGCACCGCAGAUGGUGCCGCCAAGGACGCGUCUUCAGACGUUGUAGCCGAUCAGGCCGCGCUUGCCGAUGAUCUCCCCGAUGUAAAACCACAUCAGCACCUCUGUGGCCACCAGCCCGUUCUGCAGCGCCUCCUGGAAGGGAGAAAGGCACCCGUGAGAUCGCUGGCCCUGCAGCGGCUUCCCGCAGCCCAGCCCCACGCGUGAGCAGCCACGCGCUCAACCCGAUCACGCGGCAACAGCUUCAGCAAAACAGCCAACGCGCUCGGGAGCGUUGAUGACGUUUGGCAGAGCACACCGCUGCGGUGGCUCAAACGCUCAGUACAGCAUCACUGGUCGUUCCUGCUCCUUACUGCCCUUCCCGAAGAUCGUUUCUCCCGCAGAUGCGGGGAGCACGGCAACCGCGAGGCUGCGGCAGCGGCGGGGCUGGAUCUGCCGCCCUGGUCCCUCCUCCCUGGGACACGGACACAGCCCGGCCAGGGCAGGAAGAGCAGCAAAGCACCGCAGCUCUUGGCCCCGGGUUCCCCCGAGGUCCCCGAGCGCUGCCGCUCCGCUGUUCUCCGCGGCAACGCGAACCGGCCCCAGGGCGGCUCCCCCCACCGCAGCACCGCCCCCGCCGUUACCUUCACCGUGAGCUGCCGCAGGCGGCCGCUCUGGAAGGCGCGCACCAGCCCCUUCAUGCUGUCGAUGGCCCGCGGGAUCUCCGCGGGGGUCGGCGGGGCCAGCUCCACCUUGGCGUAGAACCAGAACGUGGCCAGGCGCGGCCUGGAGUACGCGACGGCGGCUGCGGGCGGCAACGGGACAACGGCGUGUGAACACCGGCGGGGCCUCGCGAGCCCGGCCCUCAGCCCCGCGCCCCCCGCUCCCGCCCGGCACGGCACGGCCCCGCUCCCCGCGCCCCCCGCUCCCGCCCGGCACGGCCCCGCUCCCCGCGCCCCCCGCUCCCGCCCGGCACGGCCCCGCUCCCCGCGCUCACCGCUGAGCAGCUGCGGCCCGCGGACCGCCACCCGCUGCACCAGCUUCUGCGCCGCCUGCGCCAUGCCGCCCUGAAUGUCACCCCGCCGCCGAGGACCCCGCCGCCGCGCCUGCCCGCGCAGCGCCUGCCGCCCGCUCGCCCGGCAGGCGUCCGCCGCGGGCAGCCCGUGGCGAGGACCCCGCGGGGCGGGGCGCGCCGCGCCGCCCGUGAAUCGCGGUUCGAGCCCCGGGCGCUGCCGCUCCCACCCGCGGUCCCCGCUCCGACAGCUGCCAGACUUCCACCACCGGCUCCAAGAUCAGAUCUAGAUUUAAUUCCAACGCCCCUCCGUUCCCAGCGCCAAGUACAAGUUGGCAGAACCGUCCCCCUCCAGCCUGCACUGGCAUCCAGCCCUCAGAGCUGCUGUGGCCGCGGAGGCAUCGCGUUCACAUUGAACUGUUACAGAGUUUAAACGGAACAGAACAGAGGGAAGGAACAUGGCCCACGCAAAGAACAAGCGACGGGGGGGUGCCAGGCCGCAGAAGGGACCGUGGUCUUCCCCUGAGGCAGAGGCUCAAAGCUGUAGUGCAGCAGAAAGUCUCAACAGUAAAGAGAAAGUCUUGAAAGGAAAAGACAGAACGAGGGGUGGGAGGAAGGUCCCAGGAGAGACCCCGGAGCUCCAGCCGCUACCCCUGCAAAGUUUAUCUGGCCCGUGACUGCAGGUCUGGGGACGAGAUCCUGGUUCUCAGUUCAGCGAUUCCUCCAGCUCCUCCUUCUG
Long non-coding RNA from Columba livia (rock pigeon), 3290 nucleotides. RefSeq lists it as uncharacterized. Lineage: Eukaryota; Metazoa; Chordata; Aves; Columbiformes; Columbidae. The record is from RefSeq and is a predicted model, not a curated record. The transcript has 2 exons.